UGAAUCAAUCUUGCAUUCUAUGUUUCAGAUACACAUUUUUCAUUGCCCUAUAUCCGAUUGGAGUAACAGGGGAGUUGCUGUGCUUCUACUGGGCUCAACAGUAUGUGGCCAAGACGAAAGCAUGGAGCCAUGAGCUGCCAAAUCCCUUGAAUUUCACAUUCAGUUACAGUUACUUCCUUCUAUCUGUUAUGUUCUCCUACAUUCCAGUUUUCCCUCAAAUGUACAUGCACAUGGUCAACCAGAGGAAGAAGAUCAUAGGAGGCCAAACAUCAGAAAAGAAGGCCAAAUAGACAUUUGA
This is a long non-coding RNA of Nilaparvata lugens (brown planthopper), 298 nucleotides long. RefSeq lists it as uncharacterized. The record is from RefSeq and is a predicted model, not a curated record. The transcript has 2 exons. NCBI's taxonomy places the organism in Eukaryota, Metazoa, Arthropoda, Insecta, Hemiptera, Delphacidae.